Molecule: non-coding RNA, 26 nt
Filed under: Homo sapiens (human)
Lineage: Eukaryota; Metazoa; Chordata; Mammalia; Primates; Hominidae
Source: RNAcentral
UGGACCAAGAGUGUGAAGAUCAGGAG